GACGAACGCUGGCGGCGUGCUUAACACAUGCAAGUCGAACGGAAAGGCCCUGCUUUUGUGGGGUGCUCGAGUGGCGAACGGGUGAGUAACACGUGAGUAACCUGCCCUUGACUUUGGGUUACUUUAGGGAAACUGGGCUUACUCCCGACUCGAAGCUCCGCUUCCAUGGUGGGGUUGGGAAAGUUUCGGCGGUUGGGGAUGGACUCGCGGCUUAUCAGCUUGUUGGUGGGGUGGUGGCUUACCAAGGCUUUGACGGGUAGCCGGCCUGGGAGGGUGACCGGCCACAUUGGGACUGAGAUACGGCCCAGACUCCUACGGGAGGCAGCAGUGGGGAAUAUUGCACAAUGGGCGGAAGCCUGAUGCAGCAACGCCGCGUGCGGGAUGACGGCCUUCGGGUUGUAAACCGCUUUCGCCUGUGACGAAGCGUGAGUGACGGUAAUGGGUAAAGAAGCACCGGCUAACUACGUG
This 468-nucleotide ribosomal RNA is filed under the name uncultured bacterium. RNAcentral's name for it is "partial 16S ribosomal RNA". It matches the Rfam family "Bacterial small subunit ribosomal RNA", at positions 28 to 507 of the family's 1533-position model. The record is from RNAcentral.